This 1369-nucleotide ribosomal RNA is filed under the name uncultured bacterium. RNAcentral describes it as "bacterial SSU rRNA". It matches the Rfam family "Bacterial small subunit ribosomal RNA", at positions 28 to 1381 of the family's 1533-position model. The record is from RNAcentral.
GACGAACGCUGGCGGCGUGCCUAAUACAUGCAAGUAGAACGCUGAAGAGAGGAGCUUGCUCUUCUUGGAUGAGUUGCGAACGGGUGAGUAACGCGUAGGUAACCUGCCUUGUAGCGGGGGAUAACUAUUGGAAACGAUAGCUAAUACCGCAUAACAAUGGAUGACACAUGUCAUUUAUUUGAAAGGGGCAAUUGCUCCACUACAAGAUGGACCUGCGUUGUAUUAGCUAGUAGGUGAGGUAACGGCUCACCUAGGCGACGAUACAUAGCCGACCUGAGAGGGUGAUCGGCCACACUGGGACUGAGACACGGCCCAGACUCCUACGGGAGGCAGCAGUAGGGAAUCUUCGGCAAUGGGGGCAACCCUGACCGAGCAACGCCGCGUGAGUGAAGAAGGUUUUCGGAUCGUAAAGCUCUGUUGUAAGUCAAGAACGAGUGUGAGAGUGGAAAAUUCACACUGUGACGGUAGCUUACCAGAAAGGGACGGCUAACUACGUGCCAGCAGCCGCGGUAAUACGUAGGUCCCGAGCGUUGUCCGGAUUUAUUGGGCGUAAAGCGAGCGCAGGCGGUUUGAUAAGUCUGAAGUUAAAGGCUGUGGCUCAACCAUAGUUCGCUAUGGAAACUGUCAAACUUGAGUGCAGAAGGGGAGAGUGGAAUUCCAUGUGUAGCGGUGAAAUGCGUAGAUAUAUGGAGGAACACCGGUGGCGAAAGCGGCUCUCUGGUCUGUAACUGACGCUGAGGCUCGAAAGCGUGGGGAGCGAACAGGAUUAGAUACCCUGGUGGUCCACGCCGUAAACGAUGAGUGCUAGGUGUUGGAUCCUUUCCGGGAUUCAGUGCCGCAGCUAACGCAUUAAGCACUCCGCCUGGGGAGUACGACCGCAAGGUUGAAACUCAAAGGAAUUGACGGGGGCCCGCACAAGCGGUGGGGCAUGUGGUUUAAUUCGAAGCAACGCGAAGAACCUUACCAGGUCUUGACAUCCCGAUGCUAUUUCUAGAGAUAGAAAGUUACUUCGGUACAUCGGUGACAGGUGGUGCAUGGUUGUCGUCAGCUCGUGUCGUGAGAUGUUGGGUUAAGUCCCGCAACGAGCGCAACCCCUAUUGUUAGUUGCCAUCAUUCAGUUGGGCACUCUAGCGAGACUGCCGGUAAUAAACCGGAGGAAGGUGGGGAUGACGUCAAAUCAUCAUGCCCCUUAUGACCUGGGCUACACACGUGCUACAAUGGUUGGUACAACGAGUUGCGAGUCGGUGACGGCAAGCUAAUCUCUUAAAGCCAAUCUCAGUUCGGAUUGUAGGCUGCAACUCGCCUACAUGAAGUCGGAAUCGCUAGUAAUCGCGGAUCAGCACGCCGCGGUGAAUACGUUCCCGGGCCU